UACGUAGGGUGCAAGCGUUGUUCGGAAUUACUGGGCGUAAAGGGCGCGUAGGCGGCCUGCUAAGUCGAACGUGAAAUCCCCGGGCUCAACCCGGGAACUGCGUCCGAUACUGGUUGGCUUGAAUCCGGGAGAGGGAUGCGGAAUUCCAGGUGUAGCGGUGAAAUGCGUAGAUAUCUGGAGGAACACCGGUGGCGAAGGCGGCAUCCUGGACCGGCAUUGACGCUGAGGCGCGAAAGCCAGGGGAGCAAACGGG
This 253-nucleotide ribosomal RNA is filed under the name uncultured bacterium. RNAcentral's name for it is "partial 16S ribosomal RNA". It matches the Rfam family "Bacterial small subunit ribosomal RNA", at positions 524 to 776 of the family's 1533-position model. The record is from RNAcentral.